This 673-nucleotide long non-coding RNA is filed under the name Elaeis guineensis (African oil palm). RNAcentral describes it as "long non-coding RNA (EGUI_LNC014962)". The record is from RNAcentral. Lineage: Eukaryota; Viridiplantae; Streptophyta; Magnoliopsida; Arecales; Arecaceae.
GCUGCUGGUCCGGCGGAAUACCUUCCUUAUCUUGAAUCUUGGCCUUGACGUUGUCGAUCGUGUCCGAGCUCUCGACCUCCAAGGUGAUGGUCUUGCCGGUGAGGGUCUUGACGAAGAUCUGCAUGCCUCCACGGAGACGGAGGACAAGGUGGAGGGUGGACUCCUUUUGAAUGUUAUAAUCGGCGAGGGUGCGGCCGUCUUCCAGCUGCUUGCCGGCGAAGAUCAGACGCUGCUGGUCCGGGGGGAUGCCCUCUUUAUCCUGGAUCUUGGCCUUGACGUUGUCGAUCGUGUCCGACGACUCGACCUCCAAAGUGAUGGUCUUGCCGGUGAGGGUCUUGACGAAGAUCUGCAUCUGUUAUAGAAGAGAAGUGAAAAAACGAAGGAUCAGAGGAAGUUCUAACAACGAGAGAGACGAAAGGGCCGAUAGAUCGGCAGAUGGUCGAGCCGAUGAGUAGAUCGGUCAAGGUCAAAGGAUGGAAAGAGAACAAAUAAAAAAACCGAGAGCUAUGAAGCGAACCAGAUCAUAUAAUCAGGAAUUUUUUCAGAUCUAAUCAAAAACCUAAAAAGAAAUAGAAUUCGCUGGUAGAACUAUCAGAUCUAGAGGAAAUAAACCAAGAAAAAUACCUUGAUUAACACCAAAAUAUCAGAAAAGAUAGAGAAAAGAUGAAGGAUA